AGUAACAUUUUUCAAGUUAUUAGUUGAACAAAAAUUGGUCUGUUGCUUCUAAUAUAUAUACAGAGGAGAAUGAAUAAUUGUUUAUUGAAACACAAAAAAUACUAUGGGUUACUUGCUGCAUCACUUCCCUGAUUCAAUUUCCUAGUCUUUAAAAAGAGUAUAGGAAGACCAUCUGCAGCAUAUAAAGAGGAGUCAGUUAUAUAAUGUUUAUAUCAGUCAGUUAUAUAAUGUUUUGCAAGCAUCCUACRUGUAGAGCACUGUUUUUUAGACAAUGAACAUCGGAUAAAAUGUUCCAGAAAUAAGUGAAUUACAACUGUGAAGAAACUAUGAAGAAUAUCAGUUUGGUGAAUCUUGGUAAACUUCUAGAUGACUUCUCAGUGAUAGAAAAGAAAAUAUCAGAAAUUAAUGAAGCAAAUAACCUACUGGUUCUUCAGCUGGAAAAAUCUAACAUGUUGGUAAAAUUAAGCCAAUCAAAAGAGGAUUCAGUAAAAGAAGGAAACAAUCUUUUGGCGGCGAGGAGGAAAAGGCUCAGCUUUGGACACCUAAUGAUGUUACUGUUCCCAAAAGUACACCCUUCCCAUCCAUACAGGCCUCUUGAGCAUCGAGUGAACCACCACAGUUUGCGAUGCGAGCAUUUUUAGGCAGGCUAGUAUAAGUAGUGUUUAGCUUAAAAUGCAAGCCUGUAACUUGUAGUUAACAUUCACAAGCAGUUCAGAUGUCUGUAUAGAAUGAUAGAGUCAACAUUUGGGAACCAUAAGGCCAUCAGUGACAUCAUCACAUCCCAAGCUGAGCUGUUCUGUUGCUAUUAAUAUGACCAAAUCUAAUGUUAUGUUUCAGCUGGUUGCCAGAAACAUUUUCUCCACUGAAAAAAAAMCAUCAAAGUUUGAAAAUGUCAGAGUUCCAAAACAUCAAAGUUUGCCUGUAAUUGGAGAUGGGAUGUCAAGCUGGUGGGACUGGUGCUCUGAGAUGGUGUAAAAGAUGUUAUCUCUUAGCUGAUUGUGUGAUUUGGUUUAUUUAAGGUCAAUUUGAUUUGAUUCCAAACCCCCCAAUCUGAGGUUUGGAAUACAUUUCCCUCUACCAUGCUGACAGGUGCAUUGAAGUUCUAGUAUUUCUCUUUUAAUGUUGGUCACUGAAAUAAUUUAGCCUAAAUUAAUUCUGUGCCGUUGUAUUGGACUUUAGAUAUUGGUGGAACUCAAGUCUUGUGUUUUCCCUAAGCAUUUGUUUAGCUUCUUGAGGACUGAAAAGCUUUAGUCUAUCCAAAGUGAUUAGACUUUAUAUCUGCGUGAGAUUUAAUCCCUUGUGAUGCUAAGAGGUCAGGUUAAACAAUGKGACAGCCUGUUUGACUUUAUAUCAUCAUCAAGAUUUUAUCACGGUAGCAUUUCCAACUCAAUUAUACAGCAUUAGCAAUCACACACAAUUCCUUCAAGCUUGCGUUCAAUUACUCUGAUACUGAUCAUUGUCAUAGGUUUAUUCCAUAGGAUGUAUUUCUCUUACUUUAGUUUUAAUGUGAUCAGGGUUUUGGUCGUAUUUCUUUUACUUUGUAUAAUGGAUGUCAUUAUGGCGUUAAAAAGUUGUGGAUGGUAAUAAAAAUUUAUCUAAAUGUUAAGAGUAUUCA
Molecule: long non-coding RNA, 1615 nt
Organism: Dromaius novaehollandiae (emu)
Lineage: Eukaryota; Metazoa; Chordata; Aves; Casuariiformes; Dromaiidae
Source: Ensembl